CUUAGGUGUUGUUGGGUAGGGGAGCGUUCUGUAAGCCGUUGAAGGUGGACUGUGAGGUCUGCUGGAGGUAUCAGAAGUGCGAAUGCUGACAUAAGUAACGAUAAAGCGGGUGAAAAGCCCGCUCGCCGGAAGACCAAGGGUUCCUGUCCAACGUUAAUCGGGGCAGGGUGAGUCGACCCCUAAGGCGAGGCCGAAAGGCGUAGUCGAUGGGAAACAGGUUAAUAUUCCUGUACUUGGUGUUACUGCGAAGGGGGGACGGAGAAGGCUAUGUUGGCCGGGCGACGGUUGUCCCGGUUUAAGCAUGUAGGCGGAGGUUCCAGGUAAAUCCGGUACCUUUUAACGCUGAGGUGUGAUGACGAGGCACUACGGUGCUGAAGCAACAAAUGCCCUGCUUCCAGGAAAAGCCUCUAAGCAUCAGGUAACACGAAAUCGUACCCCAAACCGACACAGGUGGUCAGGUAGAGAAUACCAAGGCGCUUGAGAGAACUCGGGUGAAGGAACUAGGCAAAAUGGUGCCGUAACUUCGGGAGAAGGCACGCUGGCAUGUAGGUGAAGCGGUUUACCCGUGGAGCUGAAGCCAGUCGAAGAUACCAGCUGGCUGCAACUGUUUAUUAAAAACACAGCACUGUGCAAACACGAAAGUGGACGUAUACGGUGUGACGCCUGCCCGGUGCCGGAAGGUUAAUUGAUGGGGUUAGCGGCAACGCGAAGCUCUUGAUCGAAGCCCCGGUAAACGGCGG
Molecule: ribosomal RNA, 740 nt
Filed under: Klebsiella aerogenes
Lineage: Bacteria; Pseudomonadati; Pseudomonadota; Gammaproteobacteria; Enterobacterales; Enterobacteriaceae
Description: bacterial LSU rRNA
Rfam family: Bacterial large subunit ribosomal RNA
Source: RNAcentral